UCGAGAAUCAUUCACAAUGGGGGAAACCCUGAUGGUGCGACGCCGCGUGGGGGAAUGAAGGUCUUCGGAUUGUAAACCCCUGUCAUGUGGGAGCAAAUUAAAAAGAUAGUACCACAAGAGGAAGAGACGGCUAACUCUGUGCCAACAGCCGCGGUAAUACAGAGGUCUCAAGCGUUGUUCGGAAUCACUGGGCGUAAAGCGUGCGUAGGCGGUUUCGUAAGUCGUGUGUGAAAGGCGGGGGCUCAACCCCCGGACUGCACAUGAUACUGCGAGACUAGAGUAAUGGAGGGGGAACCGGAAUUCUCGGUGUAGCAGUGAAAUGCGUAGAUAUCGAGAGGAACACUCGUGGCGAAGGCGGGUUCCUGGACAUUAACUGACGCUGAGGCACGAAGGCCAGGGGAGCGAAAGGG
Molecule: ribosomal RNA, 410 nt
Filed under: Acidobacteriota bacterium
Lineage: Bacteria; Pseudomonadati; Acidobacteriota
Description: Acidobacteria bacterium partial 16S ribosomal RNA
Rfam family: Bacterial small subunit ribosomal RNA
Source: RNAcentral